ACCAUUAUCCGUCCUUUAUCUGCCGGUAAGAAUACUUUUCUUUUAUCUUGUAAAACCGUCUUAUUUCCAAAACGAAUUUCACGAAAAAAGAGUUAGACGGAAAAAGAAGGAUUUACAAGAUAAAAGAAAAGUAUUCUUACCAGUAGAUAAAGGACGGAUAAUGGU
Paramuricea clavata is the source of this 165-nucleotide non-coding RNA. Lineage: Eukaryota; Metazoa; Cnidaria; Anthozoa; Malacalcyonacea; Plexauridae. The record is from the annotation of a GenBank genome assembly.